Molecule: non-coding RNA, 22 nt
Filed under: Mus musculus (house mouse)
Lineage: Eukaryota; Metazoa; Chordata; Mammalia; Rodentia; Muridae
Source: RNAcentral
UCCAACAGUGCGGUUGCCUGGG